CACCCCUCCCUUUUCGACCCGUGCGCUUCUCACCACUGCGUGUCACACAGUGAUGUGUGUGUUGUUGAAUCUAAAGUUUUGCAACAUCAAAAGUUUAUUUAAAGGCAAUCACUAAUUAUAUAUAUAUAUAUAUAUAUAUAUAUGUAUGUAUUAGAUGUAGCUGGUUAAACUUAAAGGCCGAUAUUUUCUAUCGAACUAGUCUAUUUUCUGUUCAGACACAAAGUUUUCUGAUGCUGAUAUUAUGUCAGUGUGUGUUUGUGUGGGGGUCGUGUGCUGUAAUCUUUGAAAGUUUAUGACCGAACCUUUAUUGGGGAGCGACAAGAGAUCUCCCGGACUCAGUUUGGAUGGAGCAGAGCUGUUAUACUCAAGUCUAUUGCGAAAUUGUCUAAACUGGUAUUAACUAUUCCUGGUAAAUCGCGGACAAGAGUGGCCUGAACAAAAAAGUCAGCCCGAGACUAGAACCUCCCGCAGCGUAACAAGGAAAUCUUGGAGCAAAGAGACGCCGAGUGGCUCGUGUUGUGCGGUUUGGAUAUCUGCUGCAAAGCGAACGUUGUGUGUACUAUUGCAAAAUAGCGGAUCUCCCCGGUUAGGAUACAGACCACAACGCUUUGGACGUAUCUUUAAAAAAGAGAAAAAUCAGAGACUUUUUGGAUUUGUCUGGGGACAUUUUAAACAUUUUGUGUCAAAUUGGAUUUAAAACAUUUCGGAUACUGGAUACCUAGUUUGAUUUGUCCACAGAUCUUGUUUAAGACGUUUUCACCUCAUUUUAGGGUUUAUUUUUAAUUAAAGGCUUCUUAAAACAUGUAUGAAAAUGUGUAUAUUAUACAAUGAGUCUUAUAUUGUCUGCUCUGACAAAAAUAAAUUAUUAUUUUAGAUCUUA
This is a long non-coding RNA of Paramisgurnus dabryanus, 880 nucleotides long. RefSeq lists it as uncharacterized. The record is from RefSeq and is a predicted model, not a curated record. Lineage: Eukaryota; Metazoa; Chordata; Actinopteri; Cypriniformes; Cobitidae.